UUCUAACAGUGGGUUGUUUCUUAAAUUUGACUCAUUGGUUCGCGGGUAAUAAUACUUUACGUUAUUGCGAUUGGAGAUUAAAAAAAUUGAGAUGGAAUAACAAAUCGUUCUCAUGAAAAUAACUGAUUUUUUCAUUAAAACAAAAAAAUGUUGCAUUUUAUUAAAUGGAUUGUAACAAUAAGUAUAAUUACCGCUUUUCUUCCACUAUUUUUAACUCAGUUUGAAACUUCAAAUGCGAUAUAAUUUUGGCUUGGACCAUCUAAGCUGACUGACAUCAACUUGCUAUAAUUUCUGUUUACAUUACAU
Paramuricea clavata is the source of this 306-nucleotide non-coding RNA. NCBI's taxonomy places the organism in Eukaryota, Metazoa, Cnidaria, Anthozoa, Malacalcyonacea, Plexauridae. The record is from the annotation of a GenBank genome assembly.